Molecule: transfer RNA, 87 nt
Filed under: Mucilaginibacter gotjawali
Lineage: Bacteria; Pseudomonadati; Bacteroidota; Sphingobacteriia; Sphingobacteriales; Sphingobacteriaceae
Rfam family: tRNA
About the family: Transfer RNA (tRNA) molecules are approximately 80 nucleotides in length.
Source: Rfam by way of RNAcentral
GGAGAGGUGUCAGAGCGGUUCAAUGUGCCUGAUUCGAAAUCAGGUGUACUGUCAAAGGUACCGGGGGUUCGAAUCCCUCCCUCUCCG